Molecule: long non-coding RNA, 270 nt
Organism: Hibiscus syriacus
Lineage: Eukaryota; Viridiplantae; Streptophyta; Magnoliopsida; Malvales; Malvaceae
Exons: 2
Source: RefSeq, a predicted model, not a curated record
AUCACGCUGGUUCAUAUCAGCAACUGCUCUUGCCUAGCACAAAAACAAUCCAACUGUUGAACUAUGCCUUGCAAAAAAGUAUAUGUAUAAUCUUUUUAAUCUGAAACGAGAAGUGAGAAGGAUAUAAAGAAUGGUGCCAAUAGAAGUGUUUUCCUGACAAUUUUGCCUGGACAUAAUGCAUGAUUGAAAUCAAGAUGAAAUGGGCAAGUCUCACCCACAAUCCCAAAAUGGUCAGGUCAGUUGCAAUUCGGGUAUCAAGCUUGAUGAUGA